This 440-nucleotide ribosomal RNA is filed under the name uncultured bacterium. RNAcentral's name for it is "partial 16S ribosomal RNA". It matches the Rfam family "Bacterial small subunit ribosomal RNA", at positions 338 to 795 of the family's 1533-position model. The record is from RNAcentral.
CCUACGGGUGGCAGCAGUGGGGAAUAUUGCACAAUGGGGGAAACCCUGAUGCAGCGACGCAGCGUGAGUGAAGAAGUAUUUCGGUAUGUAAAGCUCUAUCAGCAGGGCAGAAAAUGACGGUACCUGAGUAAGAAGCCCCGGCUAACUACGUGCCAGCAGCCGCGGUAAUACGUAGGGGGCAAGCGUUCUCCGGAUUUACUGGGUGUAAAGGGAGCGUAGACGGGAGCACAAGUCUGGAGUGAAAUGCCGGGGCUUAACCCCGGAACUGCUAUGGAAACUGUGCAGCUAGAGUGCAGGAGAGGUAAGUGGAAUUCCUAGUGUAGCGGUGAAAUGCGUAGAUAUUAGGAGGAACACCAGGGGCGAAGGCAGCUUACUGGACUGUAACUGACGUUGAGGCUCGAAAGCGUGGGGAGCAAACAGGAUUAGAUACCCGAGUAGUC